UCUUCGGCAAUGGGCGCAAGCCUGACCGAGCGACGCCGCGUGCGGGAUGAAGGCCUUCGGGUUGUAAACCGCUGUCGUAGAGGAGGAAAUGCAGGGGGGUUCUCCCCUCUGUUUGACCUAUUCUAGGAGGAAGUACGGGCUAAGUUCGUGCCAGCAGCCGCGGUAAGACGAACCGUACAAACGUUACUCGGAAUUACUGGGCUUAAAGGGUGCGUAGGCUGCGCGGAAAGUCGGGUGUGAAAGCCCUCAGCUCAACUGGGGAAUUGCACUCGAAACUACCGUGCUCGAGGGAGACAGAGGUGAGCGGAACUCAAGGUGGAGCGGUGAAAUGCGUUGAUAUCUUGAGGAACACCGGUGGCGAAGGCGGCUCACUGGGUCUCUUCUGACGCUGAGGCACGAAAGCCAAGGUAGCAAACGGGGUUAGAUACCCCGGUAGUCUUGGCUGUAAACGAUGAGCACUUGUUUGAAGGGUCCUCCAUAGCCUUUCAGACGUAGCGAAAGUGUUAAGUGCUCCGCCUGGGGA
Molecule: ribosomal RNA, 523 nt
Filed under: uncultured bacterium
Lineage: Bacteria
Description: bacterial SSU rRNA
Rfam family: Bacterial small subunit ribosomal RNA
Source: RNAcentral